This 253-nucleotide ribosomal RNA is filed under the name uncultured bacterium. RNAcentral's name for it is "partial 16S ribosomal RNA". It matches the Rfam family "Bacterial small subunit ribosomal RNA", at positions 524 to 776 of the family's 1533-position model. The record is from RNAcentral.
UACAGAGGGUGCAAGCGUUAAUCGGAGUUACUGGGCGUAAAGGGCGCGUAGGUGGUUGUACAAGUGAGACGUGAAAGCCCCGGGCUUAACCUGGGAACUGCGUCUUAAACUGUACGGCUAGAGUACUGUAGAGGGUAGUGGAAUUUCCGGUGUAGCGGUGAAAUGCGUAGAGAUCGGAAGGAACACCAGUGGCGAAGGCGGCUACCUGGACAGAUACUGACACUGAGGCGCGAAAGCGUGGGGAGCAAACAGG